Molecule: ribosomal RNA, 237 nt
Filed under: uncultured bacterium
Lineage: Bacteria
Description: partial 16S ribosomal RNA
Rfam family: Bacterial small subunit ribosomal RNA
Source: RNAcentral
AUAUGGCUCAGGAUGAACGCUAGCUACAGGCUUAACACAUGCAAGUCGAGGGGCAGCAUGAACUUAGCUUGCUAAGUUUGAUGGCGACCGGCGCACGGGUGAGUAACACGUAUCCAACCUUCCCGUUACUCUGGAAUAGCCUUUCGAAAGAAAGAUUAAUACCGGAUAGUAUCGAGAGAUUGCAUGAUUACCCGAUUAAAGAUUCAUCGGUAACGGAUGGGGAUGCGUUCCAUUAGG